Molecule: ribosomal RNA, 427 nt
Filed under: Blastocystis sp.
Lineage: Eukaryota; Bigyra; Opalinata; Blastocystidae
Description: SSU rRNA
Rfam family: Eukaryotic small subunit ribosomal RNA
Source: RNAcentral
AUUGGAUUGAGAACAACGUACAAACCUUAUCGAUAAACAAUUGGAGGGCAAGUCUGGUGCCAGCAGCCGCGGUAAUUCCAGCUCCAAUAGCGUAUAUUAACGUUGUUGCAGUUAAAAAGCUCGUAGUUGAAAUGAAGGGUAGUUGUGUAAUGAAUACAUUCGUGUAUUUUGUUAUUCUACUACCCUCCUUCUAAAUUCGAUAUAUGAGUAUUAAUUUACUUGUAUAUGGUUUUAGACUUUUACUGUGAGAAAAUUAGAGUGUUCAAAGCAGGCAUUUGCUUGAAUAUAUUAGCAUGGAAUAAUCAUGUAUGAUUUUCAUGAUGUAUUUGAUUGGUUUGGUUCAUGAGAAUAAGAUUAAAAGGGACAGUUGGGGGUAUUCAUAUUCAAUAGUCAGAGGUGAAAUUCUCGGAUUUAUGGAAGAUGAACA